AGUUCGUAUACAUAACAUAUAUACGCUUUUCAUGUUAUGUCGUGCAUUAGCCAGUCACAGUUUUUUUCCAGUGCAGGUAGGGGCAAAAGCUGGGCAGCAGUAGAGGACAGGAGGCUGGAGGAACCCAGGACUGCGACGAGCGCGGCUCACUCGCUUAUCUUCCCCGCGGCUAUUGGCGUCGUGCAACAUUGCAGGAGCCGGAGCAGGAGCCUUUUCCUGGGCCUGCGCUGCUGCUGCUGGAAGACCGGCCAGAAGAAGAGGAAGGAGGACCUGGCGAACGGACGAACUGGCGAACUGGCGAAUGAGCGAAGAAGCGACCAUGGGCCAUGGGCCAUGGGCCACGACCAUGUCGCUGAUGAUUCGCAUUCGUGUAUCGCAAGCGGGCCACAGCCGCAGCUUUUGGCUUCCCCCGAAAUUUGAAUCUGCCUGCAUCUGAGGACUUAACGAAUAUGAACGAAAUGGCCCGGGGCUGUUUCAAAAUAUUACCACACUCGAGUAUUCGAGCAGGGCUACGUACUACAUAUACAUGCGUUGGACUCCGAGCCCAAGUGAAUGCGGAAAAUUAUGGCGAGGUAGUUGCAGAUACAAACACUCAAUCACAAGGGCUCCAUUUGCAUACGCCGCUCCCCCCGCCCAAGUCCAGUCCAGAAAUCCAUGAGGUCUAAGCAGUCCCAUUAGCCAUAACCCCUAGAAAUCUUAGGCUCUGUCCUGGAAGUGCCUAUUCCUUUCGCUCUGAGGGAUUGUUCCAUUUAAGGGCCUUCUGCUCUAAAGUUACGUUCGUUAAUUAGACAUUUUUCUAGAUGCAUUGUGAGCGGGGGAAUUUUUAGUGGGCUUAUUCAGAAUAAAUCUUUGGGUUAUAUUCUA
This is a non-coding RNA of Drosophila melanogaster (fruit fly), 864 nucleotides long. Lineage: Eukaryota; Metazoa; Arthropoda; Insecta; Diptera; Drosophilidae. The record is from Ensembl.